Molecule: ribosomal RNA, 230 nt
Filed under: uncultured eukaryote
Lineage: Eukaryota
Description: partial 18S ribosomal RNA
Rfam family: Eukaryotic small subunit ribosomal RNA
Source: RNAcentral
GGAAAACUCACCAGGUCCAGACAUAGUAAGGAUUGACAGAUUGAUAGAUCUUUCUUGAUUCUAUGGGUGGUGGUGCAUGGCCGUUCUUAGUUGGUGGAGUGAUUUGUCUGCUUAAUUGCGUUAACGAACGAGACCUUCACGUACUAAAUAGGUGAAUGAAUCUCCGGAUUUGUAUCACACUUCUUAGACGGACUUUCAAUUUCUAACUUGAAGGAAGCAGGAGGCAAUAA